CCUACGGGAGGCAGCAGUGGGGAAUAUUGGACAAUGGGCGAAAGCCUGAUCCAGCCAUGCCGCGUGUGUGAAGAAGGCCCUCGGGUCGUAAAGCACUUUAAGCUGGGAGGAAGGGUUGUAACCUAAUACGUUGCAAUUUUGACGUUACCAGCAGAAUAAGCACCGGCUAACUCUGUGCCAGCAGCCGCGGUAAUACAGAGGGUGCAAGCGUUAAUCGGAAUUACUGGGCGUAAAGCGCGCGUAGGUGGCUUGGUAAGUUGAAUGUGAAAUCCCCGGGCUCAACCUGGGAACUGCAUCCAAAACUGCCUGGCUAGAGUACGGUAGAGGGUGGUGGAAUUUCCUGUGUAGCGGUGAAAUGCGUAGAUAUAGGAAGGAMCACCAGUGGCCGAAGGCGACCACCUGGACUGAUACUGACACUGAGGUGCGAAAGCGUGGGGAGCAAACUUUUUUUUUAUACCCUGGUAGUCCACGCCGUAAACGAUGUCAACUAGCCCUUGGGGUCCUUGAGACUUUAGUGGCGCAGCUAACGCAAUAAGUUGACCGCCCUGGGGAGUACGGCCGCAAGGUUAAAACUCAAAUGAAUUGACGG
Molecule: ribosomal RNA, 589 nt
Filed under: uncultured bacterium
Lineage: Bacteria
Description: bacterial SSU rRNA
Rfam family: Bacterial small subunit ribosomal RNA
Source: RNAcentral